This 331-nucleotide long non-coding RNA is filed under the name Nicotiana tabacum (common tobacco). Its description in RNAcentral is "long non-coding RNA (NTAB_LNC002256)". The record is from RNAcentral. Lineage: Eukaryota; Viridiplantae; Streptophyta; Magnoliopsida; Solanales; Solanaceae.
UUUCGUGCCAUGCGUGAGAGCCGGUAAAGAGCCAGAACCGAUGUCCACGUCAUCGGAACUGAAUGAAAUAUUGAUCGGAUCGUAGAAGAAGGUGACUUUUUUGUUAGGGUUACGAGCGAUGACGGUGAGGUUGAAUUUGGAGACGAGUUUAGUGGAAGUGAGAUUGAAUUGCGAGACUUGAAGAGAAGAAACUGAAAACGACGGUCUCUGAGGACGGUAAAGGACCCAGAAAAUAGCGCCGGCGAUGGCCGCGAGGAAGACGAUAGUGAUUAUGAAGAAUGUCGUCCAGAGACAACAGCAACAGCAGCAGCUCCGUCGGUGUUUACGACGG